AGUGAACGCUGGCGGUAGGCCUAACACAUGCAAGUCGAACGGCAGCACAGUAAGAGCUUGCUCUUACGGGUGGCGAGUGGCGGACGGGUGAGGAAUACAUCGGAAUCUACUUUUUCGGGGGGGAUAACGUAGGGAAACUUACGCUAAUACCGCAUACGACCUACGGGUGAAAGCAGGGGAUCUUCGGACCUUGCGCGAUUGAAUGAGCCGAUGUCGGAUUAGCUAGUUGGCGUGGUAAAGGCCCACCAAGGCGACGAUCCGUAGCUGGUCUGAGAGGAUGAUCAGCCACACUGGAACUGAGACACGGUCCAGACUCCUACGGGAGGCAGCAGUGGGGAAUAUUGGACAAUGGGCGAAAGCCUGAUCCAGCCAUACCGCGUGGGUGAAGAAGGCCUUCGGGUUGUAAAGCCCUUUUGUUGGGAAAGAAAAGCAGCAGGUUAAUACCCCGCUGUUCUGACGGUACCCAAAGAAUAAGCACCGGCUAACUUCGUG
RNAcentral lists this ribosomal RNA (492 nucleotides) under uncultured bacterium. RNAcentral describes it as "partial 16S ribosomal RNA". It matches the Rfam family "Bacterial small subunit ribosomal RNA", at positions 29 to 507 of the family's 1533-position model. The record is from RNAcentral.